UACAGAGGUCUCAAGCGUUGUUCGGAAUCAUUGGGCGUAAAGGGCGCGUAGGUGGUUCUGUAUGUCUACCGUGAAAGCGUACGGCUCAACCGUAUUUUGUCGGUGGAAACUGCAGGACUUGAGGCUGGGAGGGGCUGGUGGAAUUCCCUGUGUAGCGGUGAAAUGCGUAGAGAUGGGGGAGAACACUCGUGGCGAAGGCGGCCAGCUAGACCAGUUCUGACACUGAGGCGCGACAGCGUGGGGAGCAAACAGG
RNAcentral lists this ribosomal RNA (253 nucleotides) under uncultured bacterium. Its description in RNAcentral is "partial 16S ribosomal RNA". It matches the Rfam family "Bacterial small subunit ribosomal RNA", at positions 524 to 776 of the family's 1533-position model. The record is from RNAcentral.